Molecule: ribosomal RNA, 464 nt
Filed under: uncultured bacterium
Lineage: Bacteria
Description: partial 16S rRNA
Source: RNAcentral
GCACGUAGUUAGCCGCAGCUUAUUCAGCGGGUACCAUCAUAAUUUUCCCCGCCAAAAGAGCUUUACACCCCGAAGGGCUUCAUCGCUCACGCGGCGUCGCUGCAUCAGGGUUUCCCCCAUUGUGUAAGAUUCCCCACUGCUGCCUCCCGUAGGAGUCUGGCCCGUGUUUCAGUGCCAGUGUGGCCGUGUGCCCUCUCAGGCCGGCUACCGAUCAAAGCCUUGGUAGGCCAUUACCCUACCAACUAGCUAAUCGGCCGCGGGCCCCUCCUCGAACGGCUUGCGCCUUUCCUCCCCCUGGCGUGAGCCAAAAGGAGCGUAUGCGGUAUUAGCCCAGGUUUCCCCGGGUUAUUCCCCAUUCAAGGGCAGGUUACCCACGUGUUACUCACCCGUGCGCCACUGUACUCAUGGAUUGCUCCACUUUCUCGUGCGACUUGCAUGUGUUAAGCGCGCCGCCAGCGUUGAUU